UUCCGGUUGAUCCUGCCGGAGGCUACCGCUAUUGGAGUUCGAUUAAGCCAUGCGAGUCGAGAGUCCUCGGGACUCGGCGUACCGCUCAGUAACACGUGGGUAACCUGCCCUAUGCUGGGGAAUAACCUCGGGAAACUGAGAAUAAUGCCCCAUAGCCCACUACGCCUGGAACGGUGAGUGGGUCAAAGCUCCGGCGGCAUAGGAUGGGCCUGCGCCGUAUCAGGUUGUAGGGGGUGUAAAGUACCCUCUAGCCAUCAACGCGUACGGGUGUUGGGAGACAUUGCCCGGAGAUGGAUUCUGAGACACGAAUCCAGACCCUACGGGGUGCAGCAGGCGCGAAAACUUGGCAAUGCGAGAAAUCGUGACCAGGGAACUCCAAGUGCGUAGGGUAAGACCUACGCUUUUCUUGACUCUUCAAAGGUCUUGGAAUAAGGGGUGGGUAAGGACGGUGCCAGCCGACGAGGUAAUACCGGCGCCUCAAGUGGUAGUCGCUUUUAUUGGGCCUAAAACG
This 511-nucleotide ribosomal RNA is filed under the name uncultured archaeon. RNAcentral describes it as "bacterial SSU rRNA". It matches the Rfam family "Archaeal small subunit ribosomal RNA", at positions 1 to 517 of the family's 1478-position model. The record is from RNAcentral.